ACAGACGAUCACACCACGUUUAAAACACCGGUUCUCGUCCGAGCACUGAAGCUAAGCAGCCUGGGACCUGGUUAGUACCUACAUGGAUGAUCGGCUGGGAAUACUGAAUGUUGCAGAC
This 118-nucleotide ribosomal RNA is filed under the name Trichobilharzia regenti. The record is from RNAcentral. Lineage: Eukaryota; Metazoa; Platyhelminthes; Trematoda; Strigeidida; Schistosomatidae.